CGCCUGAUUUCCUUUAUUUUAAAAACUAGAAGUUUGGUUUCAUUCCAUUCAUGCAGUGGUUCUCUAAAAGAAGACAUUUGUAUGUAUUUCCCAUUGGGUCCUAUGUUAAACUAAGUCCCUCGCUGGCGGCCAUCUUGAAUGAUGGAUCGGCUACAAAGUAACAACACUUGGUCAGCACCUCAUGAGGAACAUGCAUGCCAUGUUUGGUUUCAUACCAUUCAGUGGUUUUCUAAAAGAAGUCAUUUGUAUGCAUUUCCCAUAGAGUUCUAUGAUGAA
Molecule: long non-coding RNA, 276 nt
Filed under: Mytilus galloprovincialis (Mediterranean mussel)
Lineage: Eukaryota; Metazoa; Mollusca; Bivalvia; Mytilida; Mytilidae
Source: RNAcentral